RNAcentral lists this ribosomal RNA (440 nucleotides) under uncultured bacterium. RNAcentral describes it as "partial 16S ribosomal RNA". It matches the Rfam family "Bacterial small subunit ribosomal RNA", at positions 338 to 795 of the family's 1533-position model. The record is from RNAcentral.
CCUACGGGCGGCAGCAGUGGGGGAUAUUGCACAAUGGGGGAAACCCUGCUGCAGCGACGCCGCGUGUGGGAAGACGGUCCUCUGGAUUGUAAACCACUGUCCCCAGGGACGACGAUGACGGUACCUGGGGAGGAAGCUCCGGCUAACUACGUGCCAGCAGCCGCGGUAAUACGUAGGGAGCAAGCGUUGUCCGGAAUUACUGGGUGUAAAGGGAGCGUAGGCGGGAUGGCAAGUUGGGUGUUAAAUCUACCGGCUCAACUGUGAGUCGCACUCAAAACUGCUAUUCUUGAGUGAAGUAGAGGCAGGCGGAAUUCCUAGUGUAGCGGUGAAAUGCGUAGAUAUUAGGAGGAACACCAGUGGCGAAGGCGGCCUGCUGGGCUUUUACUGACGCUGAGGCUCGAAAGUGUGGGGAGCAAACAGGAUUAGAUACCCUUGUAGUC